UGUGCCAAGGCGCAGCCGGCUUCUUCCCAUGUGGCUUUGCGAAUCUUUCUCUCUUUUCUCACGGAACAAAGUGUGCGGGACGCACACUCUAUCGUGAUCCACAGAAAUGAGAGCAAAGUGGCGUAAGAAGCGGAUGCGAAGGCUGAAGCGUAAGAGGAGGAAGAUGAGGGAGAGGUCCAAGUAAAUCAUCCCUUUGGUGCUGCUGCUGGUCAGGGACCCUAUGUGGAUUCUCAACAAUGGACUUCCACAGUGACUCCUAACUGCUGCGACACCAUGUCUCGUGUAGAGGCUGUUUUUGCAGGAUGAUAGACCGUCCCGCAGGUCUUGAUGUGUGAAAGCCAUCUGCUCUACUUGUACACACUGUACACCACCGUCGGUUCUGUGCAUUAAACAUCUGUCACUACACUA
Ornithodoros turicata is the source of this 408-nucleotide long non-coding RNA. RefSeq lists it as uncharacterized. The record is from RefSeq and is a predicted model, not a curated record. The transcript is spliced from 2 exons. NCBI's taxonomy places the organism in Eukaryota, Metazoa, Arthropoda, Arachnida, Ixodida, Argasidae.